Molecule: long non-coding RNA, 2327 nt
Organism: Oncorhynchus kisutch (coho salmon)
Lineage: Eukaryota; Metazoa; Chordata; Actinopteri; Salmoniformes; Salmonidae
Exons: 2
Source: RefSeq, a predicted model, not a curated record
AGAGAGCUUUACAAUGGAGGCAAUAUAUGACAUCAUUCACCGUCUCUCAACUUCUUCUCCUUUCGAAGAGAUCAAAUGAAUAUGUAUUUUUUAUUUUAUAUUCCAAAUGCGGCAUUUUGUGAAUUUCGGGUCAAAUACGUAAAUGAUUUUUUAAUUUGAUUUGAUUUUUCCUUUUAUUUUCCCUGCCGUGAGCAAGAAAUGUGAUGUUUUGAUCAUGUGGAUUGUGCUGUUGCUCAAAGUAGGUCUGUCCUUGUUCCUUUUGUAUAAUGGACGGAGUAGGUUUGUGUUGUAUUACACAUACAGCCUCAAAAUCUAUUGUUAAUAUAACUUGUUGUUCUUAUUAUCGAAUGCUUUAGAUGCCAAAAUGCAUCUUUAAAAUUAAAUAAAAAUAAUAGCCUUGAAAUCUAUCUAUUUAUCUAUCUAUCUAUGGUUUUCAUGAUUAUAUAAAGAGAAUGUAUAGACAAUCUGUCUUUUUUUUUUUUAAGCUACUAAAAUCACUGAUAUAUAACAAAAUGUACUUUUAAAUCAUGAUUUCCGUAACAAUAUUGUGUUUUUUAGUGCUUCUAUUUCAUGCUGUGAUUUCAUCCUGGUCGACGUGUACAAGGUUGAACAAUAGCUGUUGUGUGUUAAGCCUUGAGGUGCAGAUCCUGGUCGACGUGUACAAGGUUGAACAAUAGCUGUUGUGUGUUAAGCCUUGAGGUGCACAUCCUGGUCGACGUGUACAAGGUUGAACAAUAGCUGUUGUGUGUUAAGCCUUGAGGUGCAGAUCCCCUGCUAUAUGACAGGCCUACUAACACACCAACCUAGCAAGACUGGAUCCACACAUUUACAAUGCGACUCUUUUGUUGUUUAGUUUUUUUGUUUUGUUGCUAGAAUUCACCACCACAGUUACUUUAUCUGUUCCCACGGGAACAUGUUUAUACCGUUUUGUUUUCUAUAAUGUAUUUGUGUUUACACUUUCUCUUUUUUAAAUAUUUGUUUAUUCCUGAGGAUGUGUGACGUCUGUUGCUUCUCAUUUCAUGGUGUAUAUUACUGUGGCCAUGCUUGUAUUAUCUUUUCAUAUUUGUUAUUAAAUGGAACACAUAAUAAUACAGAUCUGGAAUUCCAGUUGGGGAGGGGGGGGGGGUUUGUAUCCCCAAGUUCACCUCCCCCCAAUUAUUUUUUGUUUGUUUGUAAAGAAAGAGAUCUGUGUUCUAUAUUUAGCUCAGUUUUCUAGAACUGUGUCGUCUCAGGAUCUUUGACGUGUUCUAACGCAAGCUUGGUAACGGUUUAACGGACGGGUAAGAGGAAGCUUCUGAUUGGCUUAUUCAAGGAAUAGUCAACACAGAUGUUUUUUUUCUUCGUUUGGAUUAUUUAGGUAGCUGUGAAAUUAAGACUCUCUGACUAAAAAGAUUGUUGUUUAAAACAAAAGUUGGUCCACCUAGUUCUCGUACUAUUCAUUCAUUUAAUCAUGUUGUCUGUCUAUUGUUUUAAAUAUCUCAAAACAUACAAGAAUCAUUCUGUUUCUAUCGUUUUUUAAAAAUGGUUCUGAAGACAAACCGUAAGAGCUGAUAUCUUAUUUAUGCUACUACUACUGCUGCCUGCUUCUUCUGUGUCCCACACUGAACUGAAGACGAAACAUCUACCUGUGUAAUGUGUGAUGCUCUAGACUGAUACCUAGCUAGCUAGCUAGCUUUCUGAUGGUUCCUCUAGACUGAUACCUAGCUAGCUAGCUGGCUUUCUGAUGGUUCCUCUGGACUGAUACCUAGCUAGCUAGCUGGCUUUCUGAUGGUUCCUCUAGACUGAUACCUAGCUAGCUAGCUAGCUGGCUUUCUGAUGGUUCCUCUAGACUGAUACCUAGCUAGCUAGCUGGCUUUCUGAUGGUUCCUCUAGACUGAUACCUAGCUAGCUAGCUGGCUUUCUGAUGGUUCCUCUAGACUGAUACCUAGCUAGCUAGCUGGCUUUCUGAUGGUUCCUCUAGACUGAUACCUAGCUAGCUAGCUGGCUUUCUGAUGGUUCCUCUAGACUGAUACCUAGCUAGCUAGCUGGCUUUCUGAUGGUUCCUCUAGACUGAUACCUAGCUAGCUAGCUUUCUGAUGGUUCCUCUAGACUGAUACCUAGCAUGCUAGCUUUCUGAUGGUUUUGCUGUGUGGACCAGGAUCGUGCUGAAUUUGCUGUUCUUUCUCUCUACAUUUUUCUAUUUUCUCCACUUGAGUUUUUAUUUGUAAUGUACUUAAACAGUCAUUUACUGCAAGAGACUUUGAAAUGUAUUUUUGGGAACGCUAGGAUGAUAUAACUUGUCAAUGUGACUCUUUAAUGUAAAAAAUAAAUACAACAUUUAACACCAA